Molecule: ribosomal RNA, 534 nt
Filed under: uncultured Bacteroidota bacterium
Lineage: Bacteria; Pseudomonadati; Bacteroidota
Description: bacterial SSU rRNA
Rfam family: Bacterial small subunit ribosomal RNA
Source: RNAcentral
UACGGGAGGCAGCAGUGAGGAAUAUUGGUCAAUGGACGAGAGUCUGAACCAGCCAAAUCGCGUGAAGGAAGACUGCCCUACGGGUUGUAAACUUCUUUUGUACAGGAAUAAAAGACAUUACGUGUAAUGUAUUGCAUGUACUGUAAGAAUAAGCAUCGGCUAACUCCGUGCCAGCAGCCGCGGUAAUACGGAGGAUGCGAGCGUUAUCCGGAUUUAUUGGGUUUAAAGGGUGCGCAGGCGGGAUUUUAAGUCAGCGGUGAAAUUUUCAGGCUCAACCUGAACACUGCCGUUGAAACUGGGAUUCUUGAGUAUGGAUGAAGUGGGCGGAAUUCGUUGUGUAGCGGUGACAUGCUUAGAUAUAACGAGGAACUCCGAUUGCGUAGGCAGCUUAGUAAGCCAUAACUGACGCUCAAGCACGAAAGCGUGGGGAUCAAACAGGAUUAGAUACCCUGGUAGUCCACGCAGUAAACGAUGAUUACUAGUUGUGUGCGAUAUACCGUAAGUGACUCAAGCGAAAGCGAUAAGUAAUCCACC